This 433-nucleotide ribosomal RNA is filed under the name uncultured bacterium. Its description in RNAcentral is "partial 16S ribosomal RNA". It matches the Rfam family "Bacterial small subunit ribosomal RNA", at positions 29 to 507 of the family's 1533-position model. The record is from RNAcentral.
AACUAACGCUGGCGGCAUGCCUAACACAUGCAAGUCGAACGAGACCUUCAGGGCGAGUUUCGCACGGGUGCGUAACGCGUGGGAACCUGCCCUUAGGUUCAGAAGAACUCCCCGAAAGUGGUUCUAAUACCGGAUAAUGUCUUCGAACCAAAGAUUUAUCGCCUUUGGAUGGGCCCGCGUUGGAUUAGCUAGUUGUUAGGGUAAAAGCCUACCAAUGCGACGAUCCAUAGCUGGUCUGAGAGGAUGAUCAGCCACACUGGGACUGAGACACGGCCCAGACUCAUACGGGAGGCAGCAGUGGGGAAUAUUGGACAAUGGGCGAAAGUCUGAUCCAGCAAUGCCGCGUGAGUGAUGAAGGCCUUAGGGUUGUAAAGCUCUUUUACCCGGGAUGAUAAUGACAGUACCGGGAGAAUAAGCUCCGGCUAACUCCGUG